Non-coding RNA from Salmo salar (Atlantic salmon), 54 nucleotides. The record is from Rfam. NCBI's taxonomy places the organism in Eukaryota, Metazoa, Chordata, Actinopteri, Salmoniformes, Salmonidae.
UGUAUUACCUACUGUAAGUUGCUCUGGAUAAGAGUGUCUGCUAAAUGACUAAAA